Molecule: ribosomal RNA, 1474 nt
Filed under: uncultured bacterium
Lineage: Bacteria
Description: bacterial SSU rRNA
Rfam family: Bacterial small subunit ribosomal RNA
Source: RNAcentral
AGAGUUUGAUCCUGGCUCAGGAUGAACGCUGGCGGCGUGCCUAAUACAUGCAAGUCGAACGAGGGCACUCGCGUAGCAAUACGAGGGUGUUCCUAGUGGCGAACGGGUGCGUAACACGUGGGUGACCUGCCCCGAAGUGAGGGACAACGCCGCGAAAGCGGCGCUAAUACCUCCUGUGAUCCAGGGAGCUAGACGGCCCUGGAUGAGAGGCGCAAGCCGCUUCGGGAGGGGCCUGCGGCCCAUCAGCUAGUUGGUAGGGUAAUGGCCUACCAAGGCGAUGACGGGUAGGGGGCCUGAGAGGGUGGCCCCCCACACUGGCACUGAAACACGGGCCAGACACCUACGGGUGGCAGCAGUAGGGAAUAUUGCACAAUGGGCGAAAGCCUGAUGCGGCAACGCCGCGUGCGCGAUGAAGGCCUUCGGGUCGUAAAGCGCUUUUCGGGGGGAUGAGGAAGGACAGUACCCCCGGAAUAAGUCUCGGCUAACUACGUGCCAGCAGCCGCGGUAAAACGUAGGAGGCAAGCGUUAUCCGGAUUCACUGGGCGUAAAGCGCAUGUAGGCGGUCCGGUAAGUCGGACGUGAAAGCUCCUGGCUCAACUGGGAGAGGCCGUUCGAAACUACCAGACUCGAGGGCAGUAGAGGGAGGUGGAAUUCCGGGUGUAGCGGUGAAAUGCGUAGAUAUCCGGAGGAACACCAGUGGCGAAGGCGGCCUCCUGGACUGUCCCUGACGCUCAGAUGCGAAAGCUAGGGGAGCGAACGGGAUUAGAAACCCCGGUAGUCCUAGCUGUAAACGAUGCGGACUUGGUGUUGGUGGCUUAAACUCCAUCAGUGCCGAAGCUAACGCGUUAAGUCCGCCGCCUGGGGACUACGGCCGCAAGGCUAAAACUCAAAGGAAUUGACGGGGGCCCGCACAAGCAGCGGAGCGUGUGGUUCAAUUCGAGGCUACGCGAAGAACCUUACCAGGGCUUGACAUGCACGUGGUAGGAAUCCGAAAGGUGACCGACCCUUCGGGGAGCGUGCACAGGUGCUGCAUGGCUGUCGUCAGCUCGUGCCGUGAGGUGUCCGGUUAAGUCCGGUAACGAGCGCAACCCUUGCCCUGUGUUACAUGUGUCACAGGGGACCGCCGGUAUCAAGCCGGAGGAAGGUGGGGAUGACGUCAAGUCAGCAUGGCCUUUAUGUCCUGGGCUACACACACGCUACAAUGGCCGGUACAAUGGGUUGCAAAGCCGCGAGGCGGAGCCAAUCCUCCAAAGCCGGUCUCAGUUCGGAUCGUAGGCUGCAACCCGCCUGCGUGAAGUCGGAGUUGCUAGUAACCGCAGGACAGCUAUACUGCGGUGAAUACGUUCCCGGGCCUUGUACACACCGCCCGUCACGUCAUGGGAGCUGGCAACACCUGAAGUCGGUGACCCAACCGCAAGGAGGGAGCCGCCUAAGGUGGGGCUGGUGACUGGGACGAAGUCGUAACAAGGUAACC